GGUGGUUCUCGGGUGAUUCACCCAAGAAUCAGGCUCCUUCUUCUCUAGUUCCAGGUGCGUCACCUUAGAACCACA
This is a non-coding RNA of Myotis davidii, 75 nucleotides long. NCBI's taxonomy places the organism in Eukaryota, Metazoa, Chordata, Mammalia, Chiroptera, Vespertilionidae. The record is from Rfam.